GUAGGUGGCAAGCGUUGUCCGGAAUUAUUGGGCGUAAAGCGCGCGCGGGCGGUCCUUUAAGUCUGAUGUGAAAGCCCACGGCUCAACCGUGGAGGGUCAUUGGAAACUGGGGGACUUGAGUACAGAAGAGGAAAGCGGAAUUCCAAGUGUAGCGGUGAAAUGCGUAGAGAUUUGGAGGAACACCAGUGGCGAAGGCGGCUUUCUGGUCUGUAACUGACGCUGAGGCGCGAAAGCGUGGGGAGCAAACAGGAUUAGAUACCCUGGUAGUCCACGCCGUAAACGAUGAGUGCUAAGUGUUAGGGGGUUUCCCGCCCCCUUAGUGCUGCAGCUAGCGCAUUAAGCACUCCGCCUGGGGAUACGGCCGCAAGGCUG
RNAcentral lists this ribosomal RNA (372 nucleotides) under uncultured organism. RNAcentral's name for it is "partial 16S ribosomal RNA". It matches the Rfam family "Bacterial small subunit ribosomal RNA", at positions 527 to 896 of the family's 1533-position model. The record is from RNAcentral.